Molecule: ribosomal RNA, 459 nt
Filed under: uncultured bacterium
Lineage: Bacteria
Description: partial 16S ribosomal RNA
Rfam family: Bacterial small subunit ribosomal RNA
Source: RNAcentral
CCUACGGGGGGCAGCAGUGAGGAAUAUUGGUCAAUGGCCGGAAGGCUGAACCAGCCAUGCCGCGUGAAGGUCAGUGCCCUAUGGGUUGUAAACUUCUUUUAUAAAGGAAUAAAACGAGGCACGUGUGCCUUUUUGCAUGUACUUUAUGAAUAAGGAUCGGCUAACUCCGUGCCAGCAGCCGCGGUAAUACGGAGGAUCCGAGCGUUAUCCGGAUUUAUUGGGUUUAAAGGGAGCGUAGAUGGGUUGUUAAGUCAGUUGUGAAAGUUUGCGGCUCAACCGUAAAAUUGCAAUUGAUACUGGCAGUCUUGAGUACAGUUGAGGUAGGCGGAAUUCGUGGUGUAGCGGUGAAAUGCUUAGAUAUCACGAAGAACCCCGAUUGCGAAGGCAGCUUACUAAACUGUGACUGACAUUGAUGCUCGAAAGUGUGGGUAUCAAACAGGAUUAGAUACCCCGGUAGUC